CACUGUGACGGUAUNUUACCAGAAAGGGACGGCUAACUACGUGCCAGCAGCCGCGGUAAUACGUAGGUCCCGAGCGUUGUCCGGAUUUAUUGGGCGUAAAGCGAGCGCAGGCGGUUAGAUAAGUCUGAAGUUAAAGGCUGUGGCUUAACCAUAGUACGCUUUGGAAACUGUUUAACUUGAGUGCAAGAGGGGAGAGUGGAAUUCCAUGUGUAGCGGUGAAAUGCGUAGAUAUAUGGAGGAACACCGGUGGCGAAAGCGGCUCUCUGGCUUGUAACUGACGCUGAGGCUCGAAAGCGUGGNGAGCAAACAGGAUUAGAUACCCUGGUAGUCCACGCCGUAAACGAUGAGUGCUAGGUGUUAGACCCUUUCCGGGGUUUAGUGCCGCAGCUAACGCAUUAAGCACUCCGCCUGGGGAGUACGACCGCAAGGUUGAAACUCAAAGGAAUUGACGGGGGCCCGCACAAGCGGUGGAGCAUGUGGUUUAAUUCGAAGCAACGCGAAGAACCUUACCAGGUCUUGACAUCCCUCUGACCGCUCUAGAGAUAGAGUUUUCCUUCGGGACAGAGGUGACAGGUGGUGCAUGGUUGUCGUCAGCUCGUGUCGUGAGAUGUUGGGUUAAGUCCCGCAACGAGCGCAACCCUUAUUGUUAGUUGCCAUCAUUCAGUUGGGCACUCUAGCGAGACUGCCGGUAAUAAACCGGAGGAAGGUGGGGAUGACGUCAAAUCAUCAUGCCCCUUAUGACCUGGGCUACACACGUGCUACAAUGGCUGGUACAACGAGUCGCAAGUCGGUGACGGCAAGCUAAUCUCUUAAAGCCAGUCUCAGUUCGGAUUGUAGGCUGCAACUCGCCUACAUGAAGUCGGAAUCGCUAGUAAUCGCGGAUCAGCACGCCGCGGUGAAUACGUUCCCGGGCCUUGUACACACCGCCCGUCACACCACGAGAGUUUGUAACACCCGAAGUC
This 962-nucleotide ribosomal RNA is filed under the name uncultured bacterium. Its description in RNAcentral is "bacterial SSU rRNA". It matches the Rfam family "Bacterial small subunit ribosomal RNA", at positions 465 to 1428 of the family's 1533-position model. The record is from RNAcentral.